GUCCCAGAGCACUUGGUCAACGAUGCUCGCACCCAGGUGUUCAGGUACUGUUUGAACAUCAACUUCCGUGAGGAGUACCGCAUCUACGACGACAUUUUCGCGCUGC
Molecule: ribosomal RNA, 106 nt
Filed under: Ctenophora environmental sample
Lineage: Eukaryota; Metazoa; Ctenophora
Description: partial Trypanosomatid mitochondrial large subunit ribosomal RNA
Source: RNAcentral